UACGUAGGUGGCGAGCGUUGUUCGGAUUUACUGGGCGUAAAGGGAGCGUAGGCGGACUUUUAAGUGAGAUGUGAAAUACUCGGGCUCAACUUGAGUGCUGCAUUUCAAACUGGAAGUCUAGAGUGCAGGAGAGGAGAAUGGAAUUCCUAGUGUAGUGGUGAAAUGCGUAGAGAUUAGGAAGAACACCAGUGGCGAAGGCGAUUCUCUGGACUGUAACUGACGCUGAGGCUCGAAAGCGUGGGGAGCAAACAGG
RNAcentral lists this ribosomal RNA (253 nucleotides) under uncultured bacterium. Its description in RNAcentral is "partial 16S ribosomal RNA". It matches the Rfam family "Bacterial small subunit ribosomal RNA", at positions 524 to 776 of the family's 1533-position model. The record is from RNAcentral.